This 501-nucleotide ribosomal RNA is filed under the name uncultured bacterium. RNAcentral describes it as "partial 16S ribosomal RNA". It matches the Rfam family "Bacterial small subunit ribosomal RNA", at positions 30 to 523 of the family's 1533-position model. The record is from RNAcentral.
AUUGAACGCUGGCGGCAGGCUUAACACAUGCAAGUCGAGCGGGGGAAGGUAGCUUGCUACUGGACCUAGCGGCGGACGGGUGAGUAAUGCUUAGGAAUCUGCCUAUUAGUGGGGGACAACAUCUCGAAAGGGAUGCUAAUACCGCAUACGUCCUACGGGAGAAAGCAGGGGAUCUUCGGACCUUGCGCUAAUAGAUGAGCCUAAGUCGGAUUAGCUAGUUGGUGGGGUAAAGGCCUACCAAGGCGACGAUCUGUAGCGGGUCUGAGAGGAUGAGCCGCCACACUGGGACUGAGACACGGCCCAGACUCCUACGGGAGGCAGCAGUGGGGAAUAUUGGACAAUGGGGGGAACCCUGAUCCAGCCAUGCCGCGUGUGUGAAGAAGGCCUUAUGGUUGUAAAGCACUUUAAGCGAGGAGGAGGCUACUUUAGUUAAUACCUAGAGAUAGUGGACGCUACUCGCAGAAUAAGCACCGGCUAACUCUGUGCCAGCAGCCGCGGUAA